This 306-nucleotide unclassified non-coding RNA is filed under the name plant metagenome. RNAcentral's name for it is "partial contains 5.8S ribosomal RNA, internal transcribed spacer 2, and large subunit ribosomal RNA". The stretch from base 1 to 104 matches the Rfam family "5.8S ribosomal RNA", at positions 51 to 154 of the family's 154-position model. The record is from RNAcentral.
AAAUGCGAUAAGUAAUGUGAAUUGCAGAAUUCAGUGAAUCAUCGAAUCUUUGAACGCACAUUGCGCCCGCCAGCACUCUGGCGGGCAUGCCUGUUCGAGCGUCAUUUCAACCCUCAGAACCCCUUGCGGGAUCUGGCGUUGGGGAUUGGCAUCCAGCCAGCCCCGAAAUCUAGUGGCGGUCCCUCCGCGACCUCCCCUGUGCAGUAGCGAUACCUCGCAGCGGGACAGCGGUCUGACCACGCCGUAAAACCCCCAACUUCUCAAGGUUGACCUCGAAUCAGGUAUGAAUACCCGCUGAACUUAAGC